Long non-coding RNA from Varanus komodoensis (Komodo dragon), 1941 nucleotides. RefSeq lists it as uncharacterized. Lineage: Eukaryota; Metazoa; Chordata; Lepidosauria; Squamata; Varanidae. The transcript is spliced from 3 exons. The record is from RefSeq and is a predicted model, not a curated record.
UCAAAAAGUAAGAAUAACAACUGUUAAAAAUGCCAUCUAAUUCUUUCUAAUUUAGAGAUCACUGUCCUUGUAUGAGUGGAACCACUGAAGAGCACACAGCUGGUCACAGAGAAUUCAAGCAGCUUCUCCAGAAGGAUACCAUGACCAAUGGCACUGACUGGGACACGCAACUGCAAAACAUGUAACUCUAAGAAAAAUGUUUCAGAAAAGAUGGAUUCUUUGACAACAUCUGGGAACAAAUUAGACAUUAUGGUAACGGAGUCAAACAGUGUAUCACAACACAGUGGAUAUUCAGUAACAUAUGAGUUUGUGGUGUUCUGGUCUAACUGGUGUAUCUUGGCUUGGCCAUUCCCUGCUGAUUGUGUAAAAAAUAUUGUAAUUGUAGACCAUCCUAUCAUAUAAUGAAUGGUACUUUGGAAAAAGCAUGCAGAGUCACAAGGCUAAAGUUCUCAGGGAACUCAUCAGUGUACCAGGGUGGGAAAGUCUUUCAAGCUGGCAACCAGAAAGGGAGCUUACAAUUCAUCAGAGAAAAUCUGCAGUACACAUUUAGGAAAGGCAUUCCCUAGCCCUGAAUGGCAACAGCAAGCGUUUCUUUCCUUCCCAGUAAUUCCACUGUGAGAUGUGGCUGCACCAUUUUAGUCUCUAUGUGCAAAGCUGCUUCCCUCAUAUGGCCUUUUUUAUUCCCCCAUCCCAGAACUACCCAUGUUCUUGGAACCUUGUAGAAGCAGCUUAAAAACCUCUGAGAACCCAGCCCUCUCACAUGUAGAAGGUAUUUCUUCCAAAUACUUCCUAGUCAAGUUCCUGUGCAGCUUCCUUCCAACUGUAAAGAUCUACUUUGUAAAGUGGCUUCGUAGAAAAAGUUUACUUUUACUCUGAGGUGAAUUAGAAAACAAACAAAAAUGGAUUCAUAAAGGGGAACAGCUGCAGUGGAUGAAGCCAGAAACAGCAACAGCUCUUGAAGUGGAUUAUGCCCAGAGCCAAAAUUUUGAAAAUAUAUGCUUAUUGUACUGGGGCUUGCAAAAGAAGUGGUGGGAAAAGUUUACAUUUUAAAGGAAGACUUGGGUUUAUAGGGAGAACUAGUGUGGUAUACUGGUUAAGAGUGCAGAACUCAGACUUAGGCAGAUCUAGGUUCUAGUCCCUGCUCAGUCAUGGAGCCAACAGUCACAGACUCUCAGGCCAACCUAUCUCACAGGGCUGUUGUUGUGGGGAGAAGACUGAAAGCAACAGGAAGAGAAUGAUGUUAGCUGCUUUGAGUUCUUAAAGGCAGGAUAGAAAUCAAAUAAAUGUCUUCUGUAAUGUUAAUACUUCUUAAAUUUCUUCUCUAAUGUUAAUACUUCUGUGGCAGUCUGAACCUAGUUGAUGGAAAGGCACUGUAUGUGCUCAUAUGCAUGUUUAAUGUAUUUAUUGCUGGCUACUAGAAAUAAUGUUUUGCUACCAAGCUCUGAUCCAAUUUGUAGAUUCCUGGGCAUGUGCAUCUACAAUGGAAUUUCAGCCAAAUUUCUACCUGGUGUAGGAAACAUUGACACAAAUAUACAACAAACUGCUUAGAGCAUGUUGAUAGCUACAUGUACAGUUUCUUUCAGAUGUUUAUGGUUGUUUUUACAAGCCUCAUGUGCAAUAAUCCAAAUAUACUGGGCUCAAAUCAAAUAAUUUCAAGUGGAGGGAAAAUAGCCGCCAGAAAUAUAUUGUUUAAAUACUAGAAUAGAAAGGUUCUGCAGCUGUUUCUCUGCUUCUGUUUGCACAGUGGAAGAACAUAGCUGGACUUAGUUACUUUUUCACAUAUAGAACAAUUGUUCACAGUCACCAUCAGACUGUAAAAGCACAGAUUUGAACCCAAACAGAUACAAGUUAUUAACGCAAACACUUGUAUGGCAGAGAUGUACUAUUGCUACCCUAGGGCAUUUUCUCUUCUGCACUGACUUAUGAAGUAUUACUUUUGAA